GACGAACGCUGGCGGCGUGCUUAACACAUGCAAGUCGAGCGGUAAGGCCCUUUCAGGGGUACACGAGCGGCGAACGGGUGAGUAACACGUGGGUGACCUGCCCUUAGCUCUGGGAUAAGCCUGGGAAACUGGGUCUAAUACCGGAUAUGACUCCAUGACGCAUGUUGUGGGGUGGAAAGCCUUGUGCGGCUAGGGAUGGGCCUGCGGCCUAUCAGCUUGUUGGUGGGGUGAUGGCCUACCAAGGCGACGACGGGUAGCCGGCCUGAGAGGGCGACCGGCCACACUGGGACUGAGACACGGCCCAGACUCCUACGGGAGGCAGCAGUGGGGAAUCUUGCGCAAUGGGCGAAAGCCUGACGCAGCGACGCCGCGUGGGGAUGACGGCCUCGG
This 390-nucleotide ribosomal RNA is filed under the name uncultured bacterium. RNAcentral describes it as "bacterial SSU rRNA". It matches the Rfam family "Bacterial small subunit ribosomal RNA", at positions 28 to 420 of the family's 1533-position model. The record is from RNAcentral.